CGUAGGUGAACCUGCGGAGGGAUCAUUACACAAUAAAAUACGAAGGCCGUUCGCGGCUGGACUAUUUAUUACCCUUGUCUUUUGCGCACUUGUUGUUUCCUGGGCGGGUUCGCUCGCCACCAGGACCACAAUAUAAACCUUUUUUAUGCAGUUGCAAUCAGCGUCAGUAUAACAAAUGUAAAUCAUUUACAACUUUCAACAACGGAUCUCUUGGUUCUGGCAUCGAUGAAGAACGCAGCGAAAUGCGAUACGUAGUGUGAAUUGCAGAAUUCAGUGAAUCAUCGAAUCUUUGAACGCACAUUGCGCCCUUUGGUAUUCCAAAGGGCAUGCCUGUUCGAGCGUCAUUUGUACCCUCAAGCUUUGCUUGGUGUUGGGCGUUUUUGUCCCCCCCAAAAAGGGGACUCGCCUUAAAAGGAUUGGCAGCCGGCCUACUGGUUUCGCAGCGCAGCACAUUUUUGCGCUUGCAAUCAGCAAAAGAGGACGGCAAUCCAUCAAGACUCCUUCUCACGUUUGACCUCGGAUCAGGUAGGGAUACCCGCUGAACUUAAGCAUAUCAAUAAGCGGAGGAAAAGAAACCAACAGGGAUUGCCCUAGUAAC
RNAcentral lists this ribosomal RNA (598 nucleotides) under Curvularia sp. BAB-3899. RNAcentral's name for it is "eukaryotic LSU rRNA". The stretch from base 191 to 344 matches the Rfam family "5.8S ribosomal RNA". Lineage: Eukaryota; Fungi; Ascomycota; Dothideomycetes; Pleosporales; Pleosporaceae. The record is from RNAcentral.